This 21531-nucleotide long non-coding RNA is filed under the name Lynx pardinus (Iberian lynx). The record is from RNAcentral. Lineage: Eukaryota; Metazoa; Chordata; Mammalia; Carnivora; Felidae.
GGAGCUCGAGGCCAUGAGCAGAUACACCAGCCCAGUGAACCCAGCUGUCUUCCCCCAUCUGACCGUGGUGCUGUUGGCCAUUGGCAUGUUCUUUACCGCCUGGUUCUUCGUGUAUCCUUUUCACUGAGCAGCCAGUGGGCCAGAGUUAGCGGUGUGGGAAACUGAGGGAGAAACCAUGCUGGGUACGUGCACCCUGCCAGUUUUGUUCUGGUGUGGGGCUAGGGGGAAGGUAAGGAGGUCGAAGGACAGCUGUUGAUGGGCAGGGUCGGGCUGUGGCCUUACUUCCCAAGUUUAGGUGAGCUCAGUUCUUCAGAUUUCCGGGACAGUGGACAGAAGGCCUGGCUGGACUGCAGGUUGGGGAUAGGGGAUCUGAAGUUGGCAGAGUGGUAAAGGAGGGGCGUGCUCAGGUGGCAAGAGAUCCGAGGGCUAAUGCCAGUUCCUCAGUUCACUGGCUGUGUGACCCGGGGCAGGUGACCUAACCUCUCUGGGCCUGAUUUUCUUCACAGGUGGUUGAGGGCUGGUAGGAAGCAACAGAGUCCAGAUCAUCUCUUGGGCCUCUCUUCCUGGCUGCGCUGAGCCCGGCAAGCCUCCUAGAAAGCCCUCACCCCGUACCUUUUUCCCAGAGCUGCACUGGCCGGGCUUCCUGUCCUACGCAGCCCCAUCCCUCUGCUUCUCCUUAAUCACCCUGCCAGCUAUGAGGUGACCUCCACCAAGUACACUCGGGAUAUCUACAAAGAGCUCCUCAUCUCCUUGGUGGCCUCGCUUUUCAUGGGCUUUGGAGUUCUCUUCCUGCUGCUCUGGGUCGGCAUCUACGUGUGAGCUCCCAAGGGUAAGUGCUGCGACAGGGCGGGCAUUAGAGAGGCUUCCCACAUCCACGUCAGUGCAGUCCUCAGGCCUGUGCAACACUUUGGUUCAUGGAGACAGACUCGGCAGAGUGGAUAGGGACGCCGGACGCGUGUGCCUCUUUCCCUGUCCCUAACAGGGAUCUCUGACCUACAUUGUCAUGCUGAGCUCUGCACACUGCCCAAGGCUUUGAUCUGGCUUCGGGGUGUACUUCAUAGGGCUGUGGGAGCAGGCUUCCCACGUGAUGACAUUUGGGUUCUUACACAUCACACGCCAUUGACUUGGCUGCUCGGGAAGAGGCUAGAAGGGGGGUCAGAACCUGGGGCUCCCAGUUUGCUGCAGGGAGUGCCACUGUGGUAAGUUUGAAUGUUUUCAGUCAUUAAAAGAAACCUUGACUAAAGUGAUGAAGCAAACCCAGAGACCCUGGCUGCAGAUAAUCCACUAAACAGGUCCCUGAGAGUCAGCUUUGGUAGCUCCGCUUCAGAGUCGUGUGCCCGUCAGCCCUUGCCCCAGGGGCACAGGCGUCAGUGAGAAAAGCAGGCGGAAGGAAGGGUCAUUGGUCUCAUUUUGAUACCCCUCUCCUCUUUCAGGUUCCAGCCCGGCGGCUUCACUGAACCCCUGCUUUUGUAAAUUAAUUUUUUUACCGUUGCCACAAGCGUCCCCCACCUGCUCACAAUAAAGGCAGAUGUGUGACCGUCUCGUCUGACCGCCCAUUUCGCAGCGGUGGGGUGGUGCUGGGACUACCUGACUUCCCUGGUCCCACCCCUUCCCAUUUCUCUCCUGCCUUUCAGAUGCUCCCUGCUGCCGGGAAGCCCUGCUUUCUACUGUGAGGGGCAAGGAGGGUGAGGGAGGGGAGGCUGUCCUUGUAACGGAAGGCUUCGUGGACAGGGAGGGACCAGCUCUCUCCUCUGUUGUUUUUACAGCAGACUUCUCUGGGAACCCACACCAGUCACGUCUGCCCUGGACCCGUCCCAUCCUCUGAAUGUACUCUCCCUUCUGUGGGUUGGGGACCUUCACAAGGCUCAGCUUGUCCCCAAAGGGGAGGUUUUCCUUGGGGAAGGGGGCCACUUUAACCCAGGUAGGGCAGCCGUGGGUCUGGGGGGGAGUGGCUAGGGAAGGCGGCUGCGGAGUCCUGUUCCCAAGCCUGGCGUGAAGUUGAGAAGGAUGUUGGGGUGCAACGCAUCCACGUGGCUCAGGAACCUCAAGAGAUUCCAGUCAGUCUUUGCCCCACAGGCAACUCCCGCCUCCUACCAGAACAGUCUCAAGAAGAGAUGGGGAAGCAAGGUCAGAUACAAAGCCAUAUUUAUACAUUUAUUUAUAUACGUAUAUUUACUUCAGAAGAAAAGGACGGGGACAGGAAGCAAGCAGGCCCAGGGCUGCCUCCCUGUGCCCACUCCAGAGUCAGAGUUGGUACGUGAUAAAUAUGAGUCAGCACUCAGGGACAGGAACUGGGAGUUAACUGGGAGGGAGGGGCGCUCUAUGCACACGCGGGCUUUUAUGGGGGCGGGUAUAACGUGGGCAGAGGGACUUGUGCGUUGAGAGGCCCUAUGUACAGCUUGAAGCUCUGGGGAGAUUAGCCCCGCGACUAUGGGAAUAAAUGCCGGAGGGGAGGGGAGGGGAGGGGCAGCUGCUGGACCCCAUGUAGGGAAUGGAACCAAGACACCCAUUUACCAGUGCCAGCCGGGCAGCUGUCAGCCUCCAGCAGGUGACCUGCUCCCCUUCCCCGAAGCCCAUGUACCUUACUGGGCUUAAGGCGACUUUGGUCCAAGGCUGACCCCCUCUCAAGCAGCUUGGAGCCCCAGCUUCCCAAUCCUCGCACUGAGGACCCCUCCUCAGGCACGGAAACAGCCAGCUGCUAACCAGAUUGGGGCAAUGCUGUGUCCAGAAGGGCUCCAGGGGGCAGUGGAGGGUCACUUUCCAGUUCAGGACUGAGGGGCCACAGUCCAAGGCCAGGCACCCUCACUGAGGAAGCCCCAGAAUCCUAUUACAAAGGGUGGGGCUCAGCAGUUUUUAAGGCAUUUCGGGAGGGUUUCCCCCACUCUGGGGGAGGGAGAACAGAGUAGUCCUAAGGAAGGCCUGGCCCCCUGCGUGGUGUGGGGAACCGUGGGAUUCCUAUGUCAGAAUGAAGGAGUGGAGCCACGCUGGGGAAGGGGCUGGGAGGCGAGGUAUCCCUGCCAUCCCCCAACUCCCCUAAGGGUAAGUGCUUUGUGACCCAUGCCGGAAGGGGGCCCACAGUUCCCAGGCUUCAAGACCCAGCUCCCCGUAGGAAGGCCUCCCAUUCAAAGUCGAGAAUGAGACUUCGGAGAGGGGUGAGGCCUGGUUCCCAAAGAGGUGGCAGGAUACCACAGGGCAGGGACCGCAAUUCCCAGGCCCAUGCGGACGUGGCUCAGUGAUUUCCACAUUCUUCUGUGAGCCUGGAUGUGGCCUCAGUGCUCCAGGCACCCACUAAGAAAGGUUAACUUAACAUUGGCACUUGAGAUAAGACUUCUUCCUAACACGAGCCCACUGCUCCAUCUCUGGGAGGAGUGAGUGGAGACGGGGCCUGCUGCCGAGCCUGGGUCGCUCCAGCUCAGCUCUCCGAACCCAACGUGGGAGCCCUUGAUCUGGGGAGACCAGGUGACCAGGAGACAAGAGUGAAGGGGGAAGCCAGAGUCUUGGUGGUCGGGAGUGAGCUGGAUGUCUCAAGCCUCCCUGGGAUGGAUCAGAGCCAGGCCCCCGUCUCUGCAAGUGUCCCCCUGUCCCCCCCCCCCCUCCCCCAGGGCUCUGCACUUCUCCGGGCUUUACCAUCUCCAACCUCCACCCCCGCUCUGGCUUAAGUGCAUUUUAGUAAUUAUUUCGUUAAUAACAGCAACAACUCUGCAUCCACACACCAGCCAAGACCAGCCUGCUGCCUGGCAUGGAUUCCUGCUCCCCUGCUCAGAGAGAAUGAUGGGUCCCGGAUACUGCUGCAAAGCUCUGGAAACUCCCAGGAACCCAGGCCGUGGGGCCCCGACACCGUCUUGUGGGGGGGGCUCACAGGGAACUUCAGGAUACUCCAGGUUCAAGGGUCCGGGGCUUACCUCGCCCACCGCCCCACCUCCCUCACUGGUUCAGCUGGACACGAAAUGUACAUAAGGCACAUGGUCAGUCUUUCCAACCCAUCCAGGGCUGGCUCCAGCUGCCCUGGGAGCUCUUGGGAGCCCGUGUUCCCAGGGAGAAGAGACCUCCUGGGCCACACUUAAAGCUUAAAAGUCCCAAGUCCAGCGUAACAGUCAAACCCCAAAAAGUCCACCACCUCGCCGCCCCGCAGGGAGCAGCUGUGAGGGUGAUGGCUGCAUACUCUCCACCGACUCAUGGAUCCAGCCGAGUCUUUUAGGGCUCCGUCCAAGUCCCCAGCUGAUAGCAAGGUCAGCAGGUCCCCUCUCCAAAAGAGGGGGGGCUCCCAGUCUCAAAAGGGGAGGGUGGGAGGUAGGCUCUGGACAGUCACAGGCUUACCCUUGCCGCCAGGGUACCUGAGGCCGGCCCUCCAACCACCAUAACUGGACAGAUAGGAACUGGUCCCGGCCUGGCCCCAGGAGGUCCCUCUGGCUCCCUCCGCGACGUGUGAGGGGCGACCGGCAGGGACAGCAACUCCAGUGUGAGGACUUCCAGUUUCACCAGUCGUGGGGAGGGCCAGGCCCGGUUCAGUCUCUCCAAGGGGGUGCCAGUGAGCAGAGAGCUGGCGGGCAGCGGCUCCAGUGUAACACCACCGCGUCCAGUGUGGAAGGGGCGCCCGGGGACCCGGGCCGUGGUGUGGUGCUGCCUUGGGGAGGGCAGCUCAGUCACACAGGCGGUAGAAGUGGAAAUAGUAGUCUGUGGCCGGCAGGACCGGGGCCUCCACGCUACAGUUGGCCUGACCCUGGGUGGGAGGGGAGCGGGCACAGGUGAGGUGGCUCUGGGGGUGCAGGGCAGGAAGCACCCCGCCCCCGGUGCCGACAUCACCUGCCCCUGUGCCCCACGUCCUGCCAUGCGCUCCGUGAACCCCCGCCUCCCUUCCCCGAGCCCCACGCUGAGCUACAGGCGCCUGGACCUCUGGGGGCAGGUGGGUGCCUGGGCUCACCAGCAGUGCCACCCGGAAGUGGUAGGUGAAUUCUCGGAAAGACAGGAUGGUCACUGGCCACUGGUGGGACGUGCCCUGGAGAGAGGGGAGAGAGAAGGGUGAACACAGCCCCCUGCCCCUAUCCCGACCAGCAGCCCUCACCGGGGCUCCAGGGCAAGUCUCCCAAAGGGUAAAAUGAGCACUGAGAAGAGAGCAGGGAGGGAGCACGCUCUGCUUUGGGGAGUGAUGGCAGCCCCCCUCUACGCACACUCUGUGCCAGGUACCCACAAGCCCACAGCCGCUGUCCCCCGGUCCCUGCCUCCCCUCACCCAUUACGCUCCAGGCACAAAGUAUUUCAUUAACCCCAACCUCACUACAACCCAGUAAGGUGAUGCUGCUGGUAGAUGAGGAAGCCGAGUUCCAGCCUAAAAUCACAGGGCACCGGGUGGCAGAGCUGGGGUUGACACACGGGUCUGGUCUGCUCUCCUUCGCCAGGGAGCGUGAGGCCUGGCUUCAGACCGCUUGCCCAUCUCCCCCCUGAGGCUUUGGCUUGGCCUCCAGGGAUGUGGAUUCUGGCCUGAGCUCCACAUCUGAAGAUGAGGGGCUGGCUGGGCUCUCCCUCUACUUCCGGGCACGUUCUCCUCUGCGCCUGUUUCGAGGCUCCCACGCACCCCUCCGCUCGUUACUUUCUGCACAUCUUUUCUCCUCAGCUAGAGGGUGCGUUCUUCCCAGGCAAGACCUGGGUCCACCCCGCCUGCCUCCCCACUGCUAAGCCCAGGACAGGGCCUGGGCUAGAGGGGCCCCGACACAUACUUGUUGAAUAACCACAAAUUGGUGAGAAGUCCCCUUAACCCGUGCUGAGAGUCACAACUUUGGGUUACGUGGGGGUCACAUGGCCAGUGAGGAGCUGAACAAGGAAAGGGUCUCAGCCAUUUGGUUCUCCGAGCAGGAGGUAGGCCUCUACGAAAUCGCCGAGAGAUCUUCCAAAAUGGUGGCUUGAACCAUGCCGCUGCCCAGUGUGAACUCACUGGGCCCAGUGUGAGCCGCUGCCCGUGCUCCUUCCCGUUUCCUGCCCCCUAGCCCUUGCCACGUGUCCGGCUCUGCCAGAAGGCCACCCAGUCCCUGGCCUCCAGACCUCAGCAUGUGCUGUCCUACUCCUGGGACACUGUCCUCUCUUCUUUCUCCAGCUGACCCCAAAUCAUCCUUCAGUUCUCGUCUUAAACGUGACUUUUCCGGGGUGGCUGUUCUGACCCCGAGCACAGACAAGGCUGGCUCUCCCUGCCAAGGACUCCUAGAAUACCCUCCCCACCCGCACCGUUGCGUUCAAUCCCAGGUUAGCCCUGGUGGGACUUUUGUCUUCCCAGGGGCUCUGUCAGGGCAGGGCCGGGGAUGGGACAGAGCAAGGGCAGGGCCACGAGGCACUCAGCCGUGACCAGUGCACCCGUGCCCCCUCCCCAGGGCCCAGAGGCCUAAAGCGUCCCUUGUGGAGGUGCCUUCGCUCUGGCCCCCGGCUCCUUCACCUGUUUGGGGGCGCGGCUGUGCCCGGGGAGAGGAAGCUCUGGGGUGUGGCUGGCCCACGGCUUCCCAGUCGCCCCCUACCUGGGUGUCCCGGUAGGUGUGCAGGCUCUGUGGAAAGUCCCUCUCCUCACACGGCUGCUCCUUUGACAUCAGGCUGCACAGCACCACAGACACGGGAGACGAAGAGCUGGGGGAAGGCCCAGUUAGCAGGGAGGUGGGGCUCCUGGGGGCCCCCUCCCAACCAGCCCUCCCCUCCACCUCCCCUGCCCCGCUGAAACAAGCCGCGAGUCCGCACGCGGCCUGACAACGAUGCCCACGGGUCAAGGCCCGAGACGGCCGCAAACCCUUUGCCGUCUACCGUCCCACAUGGCGUUCACACCCAGGUGCAACCACGGUGUGGUUUACAGAUGAGAAGCUGAAGCCCGGAGACUGCCAAGGUCACACAGCCAGUCAAGCGCAGAGCGAGCAAUAAAGUUGGCGUCGCUCCUCAGACCCCUUCCCCAGGUUGCCGGGGACCCCCACGUCCCUCCACUCACUUCAUCUGCAGAGUCAGGCUGAGGUGCAGCGGGGUGCCGCUGCUGACAGGGAUGCGGUAGGUGAAGUUUCCAGGCCUGAGAGGGCAAACGUGGCUGCUGCUUAGUCCAAGGCUACCCUGCUGAGGCCCCCUGCCUGGACUCCCCGCCCCCCCACCCCCACCCCGUCUGUCCUGGAGCUCACGGAAAGGGACUGUGCCACCUCUGGGGUGGGGGAAGGGGGAUGACAUCUGAGCAUCUGUACUGCCUGGGCUCACGUCACCUGAGGGAGUCUGUCCUUGGGGUGAGGGGAGGGGGGCAGCCGGGCCCACCUGCAGGCAUCCUCUGGGGCGCAGUACUGGGAAGUGAUGGGCAUUGAGUUCUCCAGCACCUGGAUGGAGGUCAGGGAGGGCACUGGGUCUGCAAGGAGAGAGGCUGUUGGGGCAGGGAGGAGGGUGACAGGGGCGAGAAGCCGCCAAGCCCUUCCUCGCCAGACUCGCGUUCAGUCACACACACCUUAGUAUAGAUAAGUUUCAGGUCACUCUUCCCAGACCCCCCACAAUGGCCAGGGUCACACCACCCUCCGCCCCAGCAGCACUACGAAGAGCCAGUUCCCGGGAGCCUGAGGCCCGCCUCCUUGACAGGAACCUGCACACCAGGGGCAGGGGUGGGUGCCGAGGGGUGCACAGGAGCCCGCCCACAGUGCUCCGCUCCUGACUGCACACGCUUUUCUUUUUUUUUUUUUUUUUUUUCCAAUGUUUAUUUAUUUUUGGGACAGAGAGAGACAGAGCAUGAAUGGGGGAGGGGCAGAGUGAGAGGGAGACACAGAAUCGGAAACAGGCUCCAGGCUCCGAGCCAUCAGCCCGGAGCCUGACGCGGGGCUCGAACUCACGGACCGCGAGAUCGUGACCUGGCUGAAGUCGGACGCUUAACCGACUGCGCCACCCAGGCGCCCCAUGCACACGCUUUUCAACACUCAGUUCAGAGGCAUCAGGUUGGUACCUUGAAAUCAGCCAUGGUGGGAGUAUUCGCCACAAAUCGGGGCUUUUUUUUUUUUUUUUUUCCCCUCCAGAGCCAACUGUGAGACACCUGCCAGCACCACACUCCUGGGGGCCUGUGGCCCUCUGUGAAGGAACCCGCCACGACUGGCUGACUGGCUGGGUGAGGGCGGGACUGAAGCGUGACACGGAGGGCGGGUGAGGUCAUCUCAGCUCACCUACAGGCUAGCUGCUGCCUGCCUGACCAUCCCACCGAGGGAGGGGAGGCUGGGGCCACCGAACAUGUGCUCAGCUCCGUGAGGCACAGCCAGGCACCCAGGGGCCCCAGCAGGCACAUGGGCCCACGGACACCACACACAGACAAGAUGGAAGAGACCCUCACAUGUCUCUUCUGGGCAAACUCCUGCGGUCCUUCAGAGACUCAGCUCCAAUGUCACCUCCUCCGGGGAGGCCUCCUGAUCACCUCUCCACCCCCGCCUGGAUUACGUGCCCUCCCCAGUCACCAAGCUGCCUGCAAAGUCCCCUCAGAGCUGCGGCCCGCCCCUACGCUGCCGUGUUCUCACAUCUCUGAGCCAUCCGGGGCCGGGCACGUGUGUCCUCAGCACCCCCAGCCCCCCAACCCCUGUACAAUUGAACUUCAGUCUCAGCAAGUCACAGUUUCUAAGCUUUUUUUUCCCUCUAAGCCACAAAACCCAUCAAGUGAAAGCCAAUGAGGAGGCCCAAUGCCUAGAGCAGAGCCACCUGGGAAGCCUGGAAGGCCCCUGGCCUCCUCUGCAGCCCCCAGGACGGCCGGCAGGGUGCGUCGGAGGAGUCAGUGGCAGACAGAAAACCUGUGCGGCCAAGGGUUCUCUGGCUUGGUGACAACCAAAGCCUUGAGAUUUGGAAAGCUGGGGGGGCGCGGGGGGAGACCCUACACAGCACCCUCCUUGCCCUGGCAUGGGGGCGAAGGAGCCAGGCCCCGGUGUCGGGGAGAUGGAAUCCUAGCUCUGCCGCUGACAGGCCGAACACCCUGUCUCCGUUUCCCCAUCUGAACUACAGGGAUGAUCCCCUCCUUGCAGGAAUAUGUAAGGAUUAAAUGAGGCGAGCUACAUAAGGCUCCUGGCCUCAUUCCUGCUACUUAGUAACGGGGUAUGGGCUGGCAAUCCCGCGCCAGGCGUUCAGGUGGCUGAGCUGAGAAGAUGGGGGGCAAGGUAGGGCAAGUACCUGGCUGGCCCUGGGCCCGAGUGGGCCGAGCAGGGCUCAGGCCGGGCUGGGGAAGCCCUCUGCGGGCCCGGCCGUGGAGACCAAGGCUGGGGCUGUUCUUGGCUUUGCCCUGCCCUCCAGGGAAGGGGACUUCAGGGCUGGCCAGAGGCUCUGAGCUCUUUGGAUGCUUGGAGUGGCCAAUACCAUUGGCCGACAGGCCCCAGGACUUGGCUCUGAUGUUGGUGACUGGUAGGAGGGCCAUCUGGCCGGGGCCUGUGGACAGAACCAGGGGUAGGCUGAGAAGAAGGCACAGGCAGCAACUGGCUACCUCCUGUCCAGCUUUCUCUAGGACUUCACCAGACUGUGGGUGACCCCCAUCUGUCUCUUGGUCCCCUCAGGGAGACCCACCAGUCUUCCUCCGGAGCCUCAUUCUGGGCUCCCGGACACCCUCCCUCCAAUGAGUCUUCGGGGUCUUUCUCUGGACUCCCAUAACACCCCCUCGACCCGAACCCAAGACAGCCAUACCUGAGCGGUUGGUGGAGGGACUGGGACUGGGGCUGAGGCCAUGGCCAGGGUUAAAGCUGGAGCCAAGACUAGGGGCAGGGGUAGGGCUGGGGGUGGAGGAGGAACAGCAGAUGACUGGACAAGGGCGGCUGGAGCACAGGUCCAAAGUGGGGAUGACAGGACCUGGGGCUGAGCUGCUCAGGCCGGUGGUAACUGCGGAAGCCAGGGGCCGUAUGAGCGAGCAGCAGGUAGCUGAGCUCCGCGCCCCCGCCGCCCCAGAACGCGGCCACCUCUCCCCCAUCCCAACCCUCCAGACCCCCCACAGGCACGCACCCAGCAGCAAAGAGGGCCGUGUGCCUGGCAGCCCGGUGGUCACAGGCGACUGUCGGAGCUGAGUGGUCCCAAAGCUCUGGCUGGACCUGCUGGGGAAGGGAGGGCUGAGCUCAGAGGACAGCCUCAACAGGGAGGCCUGGGGGUUCUGGCGGAGCAGGAGGGACAGGAGGAGGCGGACAGGGAUGGUGGAAAGGAGGCAGGGAGAAGGGUGGCAGGAGCCAGAGGCAGGAGGGCGGGGGCUCGGUCCAGACACGUACCAUGGGCACCUGGCCUCACUCCCCCCAGGGUGCUGGGGCCGGAGCAGGGCCAGAAGACAGGAAGUGGACACAGCAAAAGAGCUAACGGGCAGCAGAGAGGAACAGGAGGGGGGGAUAGGUGCAGGGGAGGAGAGAGAAAAGAAACAGUCAGAGAUAGCCCAGGAGCUGAGGUGACAGUGGGCAAACAGAGCCCAAGGUCCCACGGUGGCCCUCUUUCCCCCGCCCCUCCCCCCAUGCCCAUUCCAACCUGGGCCCCUCAAUGCCCUCUGACUCUCAGAGGCCCAGCUACCUAAAGGAGCACUGAACGGGCCCACGAGACACACUGGCUUCGGUAGGGACCGGGAAACGUCUGCCCCUCCUCCAGGGAGACCUCCCCAGCCACCCCUGCAGGCCGAGAGCCCGAAGCGCUACCCCCUUUGGAGGAGACAGCCUCCACGGCUCCUCUGACCCUGGGCUGCCCACCAAAGCCCCACCUGUCCUGGCGGCUUGGCCAGCAGCCAGGCCUCCAGGGACAUACCCAUCGGUUUCCACCAGGUCCUCCUCGGUGCGCAGGCUCAGCACAUACAGUGUAGACAUGGACACCACGCUGGGAGCCACAGAAAAAGGGCCACUGUUAGAGCUGGAGCUACUGUCCCGGCCCCUCUCUCUAGGGCAGGGUCUGUGGUCCUUGGCUCCGGGGGUGGGGCUCGCGAGUGACAGUGAACGGUGCCUGCGAGUGGGUCUCCCCAGCCCCAGGGGCACGAGACCGAAGGAGGCAGCCCACUUCCUUCCCUGAGACAUCCCCCUGUCCCUCCAUCCCUCCGUGAGGUCUCCUCUCCCGGCCACGUCUUCCUCUUCCCCCCCGGGCCCGGGCCCAAGGGACAGCUCAACUUCCCCAGCCAGCCACCCCUGGAGCCUGGGGGACAAGUCACCUGAAGGCCAUGACCACCACCAGGGCAAUGAUGGUUCCCUGCAGGAAGCGCUGGCUGAUGCAGGCCUGGUCUGGGACCACAGAUGACGACUGAGGACCGAGCGUAAAAGGGGAAGAAGCAGAAGAAGCCCAGACUGAGGGAGCCCGUGGUCUCACUCAGUGUGGACUCCGCUGGACGUGGGGGUGCUACGGUCUGCUCGUUCCUAUGGGGGAGGGGGGGCAGCGGGAGACGAAGGAGAAACGGGGCCAGAGGGCUAGAGAGCUGGGAAGCGAGGGGAAGUGCUUGCAGUCCGAGAGCCUGGAGGAGGAGGGCCCCGGUCCCACCCGCCUCCCAUCCGCGCCCAUCCUCACCUUGCUGGCCACCUUGGGGGGCCUCUUCUUGUGGGGGACGCUGCCCGCCCGGCUGAACUGGCUCCCUGCAUGGCUGCAGCAAGAGGGCCAGGGUCAGAGGUGCCUCUGGGAAAGGGGUCUGGCCCCCGCCUGGCCCCGCCCCCACCUGAAGGCACCCGAGCUGCCAGUGGACUUGAGGCUGUCCAGCCGCCGCAGUUUGGCCAGCUUGUGGCUCCAGCGCUCCAGCUCGUCAAUGCGUGUCUCCAGGUUGUCCGUCAGCUUGCACAGCUCCUUCACGGCACCCACGUUCUCCAUGAAGAUGCGCUCCUGCCGCGGGCGGCCGGCACGGUCAGCCCCUGGGAACCCUGGGCUACAGGGAGCAGGACCCACGGCCGCCUGGAAGUCCUCAAAGCCUCCCUGCCCAGGUCGGCCUCGGCAGCCCCCAACUCCCCGCGCCUGCCUCCAAACGGCACCCCCGCCUCUGCACCUUUGCGCCGCCAUCCGGCCAGCCCUUCCCACCCCUCCUCGCCGUCUGAACCCCGUCUCUCAGAGGCUCCCACCCUCUGAUGAACGUGAUCUCAGGCUUCAGCUCCUUAUUGCUCAGACAAGGCCAAGACAUAGUACUACACGCUCCUUGAUGCCCGGCCUCAUGCCGGGUAGUUACAAACAUCACCCUCACGCUCCGCUGUGCGUUUCAGCUUCUCAAUAACCACCUGGGAAGGUCUUGGCAGUGGACUAUCUCUAGCCUCCUUUCAAAGGGGAGGAAAAUGAUCCCCAGGGAGCUUCCUCUUGCUGUGGAUCACACGACCAUCGUGUCGCCAAGUCCCCAGCUGGCCCUUGAACGCUCAUCCCCUUUCCCCGGGGGCGGGGGGUGGGGUGGGCAGGGGGCUCCGGAGGCAGCAUGAGAGAAGACUGGGCUGCCUGCCCCCUCUGCACUUCAGUGCCCCCAGUCUCUAAGUGGGAGAUAACGCCCCAGCUGGUCCACCCUCGGCCCUUGGGCUCUCUCCAUCCCCCCACCCUGCAGACCUUGUUCACCACCAAGAAGUUCUCUAUGGUUUUCCCAUUGGCAAAGACCACGUCUCCAGUGUCCUUCACAGCCUCAGGCAGGAUCUCCUUCACCUCCUGGGCGAUGACACCUGGAGAGUGGGGGAGGGUGGGGUACAGAACACCCACAGUGCCAAUUAUAAUGCAAGGAGGGCCCCCAAGUUUGAAGAGGGCGAAAUUCUGAGGGCUAGAGAUUUGGGAUCCAAGGAGCACUGGAGCAGGGGGCUCCCACGGACCAGUGUUCCGAAGGCUGCCGCUCCCUGGCUCCGGUUGUGGGGUUCCCUGGCCUGGGGGAAGGGUGGAUUCCUGGGUGUAAGGCUCCCAGGGAAAGUGGGCCUGGAUAGAGGCAGGAUUCACCUAAGGAGCAGAGGAUGCCGGGACCACGAUUCCCGGACUUCUAGUGUCCCGGGCACCCAGGGCUGAGGCGCGGGACUUCUAGAGGGCAGGAUUCCUAGGCAGGAGUUCUAGGAGUCAAGGAGAGGGGUUCCUGGGAGUGGGGUUUCCAGCGGGCUGGGACAGAGUUGCCAGAGGACAGGGACAGGGGGCGGGGUUACUGCGGGCCGAGGCUGCUGGUUCCGGGACCCCAGCUCCCGUCGACGUAGCAGGUCCCUACCCGUCUCUGGUGCCGUGGCCUCGAUGCCUGCGGUGGCUGCAAACUCAGGCUUGUAUCUGUAGUGCACCAGCCGCAUGCGUGAGAUCCUCUUCAGCUGCUCUGUGGUGUCCACCUGCACGGGAACCGGGGCCGAGACUGAACCCCUCCCCUCCUGGGUCCGUCCGAAGUAGGCCCCGGAGCUCAAGACGGUGGGGACCCAGGGUCUGCAGUGCGGAAGGGAGACCUUGCACCAGGGUCGAGCUCCAGAAAUCUAGAGCCGGCCUCCCCCAUCUCCUUCCCCUGCAGCCCCGCCCUUCCAUCUGGCCCCGCCCCUCCACGAGCCCCGCCCACACACCAAUCAGCCCCUCGCGGCCCAGCCCUGCCCCCGGCCCCUCCCGCGGGAAACUCAGUUCUCCCCGCCGCACAGCCCCGCCCCUCGCCCACAGCCCCGCCCCCACCUCCUGCACGUGCUCCUUGGCCCGCAGGUCGGAGGGGUGCAUGAGCGAGCCCAUGACCUUGACAUUGCCGUGCACGACCAACGCCUCGUCGGGUCGGUCCGUGUUGAUGCCCACGCGGCCAUGGUGGAAGACAGUGUCGGGCACCUGCGCCCGCUGCCACAGCACGUCGCUGUCACUCUCAAACUGGCCUGGGUUGGAGGCCUAGCACAAGUGGGGGUUGGAUCAGUCCUAGGGGACGGGGCACCUGCAGUGCCCUGGGAAACCCUGCCGCCACCCCUCCCGCUCCAGGCAAGGAUUCUCACUCCACCAUGCCCAACUUCAACCGACCCUCUCAUUGUGGCACUUUUCAGUCGCUUGUGGGAUCUCAGAAGGCUACCUAGGUCCUGUGUUCCUCCACGCUUGUGGCUCAGAGGGUGGGAACUUGCCCAAAGUCACACCACUAGCACCGAGUGGGAUCAGCAUUCUAGCUCCUGACCACCCCCCGCCCCCAGUACCCCGUAUUCCUCCUGGGUGCUGUUUCUCCCAGCUCUGGGGAGGACUCUCAACCCCUUGGCUGGAGAUGGCCCUCACCCUCACGAUGAUGCGCUCUGAGAUCUGGGCAGCCAGCGUGUAGUUCUGGUUCUGUGCAUGGGCCUGGAGCGCCACCACCAGCAUGAAGUACCUGGGGCGCACAGGGGUUUAGAGGCACCCAGGGCCCUGCCCCACCUGCCCCUGCGCCCCAGCCACCCUUCCCAAGUCUCAUGUUCAGUGCUGAGGCUCCUACCACCCCUAGCGGCCGGAGGAGGGGCGGGGGCAUUCACAGCUCAUCCCACAGAAGAGGAACCUGAGUCUCCACCAGAGGGCAGACAUUCCCCAGGACCCACAACUAGGAAACCUUUGAGCUGUUCCAUCCAGAAGCCGCGCUUCUGGUCUGUCUCGUCCUUAAAUCAGUUAGCCUUAGGUACGAGUCUCAGGUCUCUCAUCUGCAAAAUGGGUCAGUCUGUGGGACACUGACUAUGGGGUGGUGUCCUGCUGCCCUUCCUCCUCGGAAAUGGAGGGCCUGCCAAGGCAGAGGUCAAGCCCGCUCACCUCUGGUCAGGGUUAGGUUUGCCCUUCUUGCGCAUGUUGUUGGCGGUGGUCUCGCUGAAGUGCAAGCGCCCCACAGUCACCUUCGUGACCUGCUCAGGAGGCAGAUUGACCCUGCAGAGGCGGGGGGGUGGUAUUCAGUGGGCAGGGAGGGGGACCCAGUCAAGAAUGUGUAGGAGGCAGACACUGGGGGUGCCAGCCGGGCCCCCUCAGCUCCCAGCCCAGCUCCGGGGUCAGCCCUCCCAGGUCCUCCCCCCUCCCCCCACAGGGCCAGACACUCACGUGACAGGGUUAAAGGGCCGCUUGCUUCGGUCGGACUGUGACUGCUCAAUGUUGAUGGACUGGUUCAGGGCCUCCAGCUGGGGGAGAAAGCAGGGCCCCCGAGGCAGAUCAGGGCGAGGGGACCCCCUGGUUCUGCUGCCUGGUUCUGCUUCCCUUUACCCACUCGGCCCAGACCCGGCCCAGCUGGACCUCCCUGGGAAGAGGGGCGGCCCUCUCUUCCACGAGGGCACAGAUAGUCCCAUCACUCCCCCACCUCUGCACACACCCACCCACACAUGUAUUCCACAAAAACACUCACAGCUCCCACAUCCACACCCGCGCACGCCCUGACCUCCUCGUACAUAUCCCAAGCGGGCCUCCAUCAACACACACACACACACACACACACACACACACACACGCACAAACCCGCUCACUCCCCAGACCCUCUCCCACACUCACAUCCAGUCCCCUUAACCCUUCUGUGAGCACCGGCUGAGCCAGACCAAGGAGCCGGCCCAGCUCCCAGCACUGAAGGAAACACACCCAGCUGUUCCCCCAGGAUGCGCAAGGGCUCCAAAUCAACCCCUCCUGGGGGGUGCUGGAGGGGACUCAGGGCAAGUGUCCCCAGGGACCAGGGACCCCAGCAGAGUGACCAGGGAGGCCAAGGAAUGGCCUGCCAGGAGAGGAGGGAUGGACUGGGCAUUCUCAGGGCAUCCCAGAGAAACGGAGCUACUUCCGGAAAGCAGGUGCUAUGAACAGGCCCAGAUGGUCUGGGGCACAGCAAACGGCAGGGCAGGAAUGAAAGGCUGGAUCCCAACGGCCUUUGUGGGCUAAGCUUAGAAGUCAUGGCUCUUUGCUGGGAGGGCACCAGGUGUCUCGGGGGAGCAUGAGCUGAGCGCCAGAGAAGAAGCCGCUGUGGACGUUCAGAGAAGCGGUGGGGGGCGGAGGGGGCAUGUGGUCUGGUCCAGGGGGAGGCGGAGGGGAGACAUGAGAGAAGGGACCAAGGCGGGCAAUGCCCUAGGAGAACAGCCAGGCCUGGUGCGUAAGCCUAGAGCGAGGGGUGAGUUGGCAGGGACUCCAUUUGGGGAUGGGGAGCUAAGGCAGCCGACAGAGGAGUCAGGAGAAGGGUCUCUGCUGGGGGUGCAGACCUGGGGUCACAGGGUAGAGAAGGAAUUAGGAAGCCUGAGGAGGCUGACGGGCACAGGGACACUCACUUUGCCUUGGGGUCUCUCAAGCUCCCCCCAGCGUUCCUGACUCGCCUCUGCUCCCCUCCCCUCCUGGCGGAGCCCCCAAACCUGCCUUCACUCCGUGCAGUUUCAGGUAGAAGCAGUCAAGGGGCUUGAGGCCUUCGGGCGUCUUGACGUACUUGGGCUCCCCCAGCAUGCCGAUGUAUACCGUCACCUGAAAGUGGUUCUUCUUCUGGCACACGAAGGCGUCGUCGCCCACCGAAAAGUUGAAGCCCUUGUCAGCGUCCACGCGGUAGGUGAGCAUGGGCCUGGGGGCAGAGGAAGGGACUCACUGGAGCCGCCGCCCCCCCCCCCCAAACCAAACCUGGAAUGUUCCUCCUACACGCCUGCAUUCCAAAGCAGCUUCCUAUCUGGUACCCCCAUCCUCAAACCACUCAGGCGGCUGCCCCCACUUCUCAGAAAUGGAAACUGAGUCCCCAGAAGGAUUUUGAGCUCAGGUCUGCCUCGGCCAAUAGUCUUUCCUCUACAAGGCUGGGACCAGCCCACCCUGGUGAUGGGGGAGGCAGGGCAAGACCCCUGGGGCCCACCGCCCAGGCGUGAACUCCUGAGGAGGGGGCGCCUCAUCACGCUUGGCUCCUUCCCAGAAUGCUGCCUGAAGCCCCCUCCCUCACGGGAGAUGGGGUGAGAGAGGGUGCGUCUGCAGAGCCUCACUGGCCUGACAGCUGGUUGCCAUGGAAACGGUGGAACCAGGCGCCGGCUCUGAGCGCUGGCCCGGCCCCUGCCCACUGGCUUGCUCAAGCCCCCAAAGUCCUCAUUCUGACUCUUCCCUCUGCCCAAGUGGGGAGAGGGGCACUCUGGGCGGCCGGGACUCGGCCUCGGUUUACCCGUCUGUUGUUGGGGAAGUAUUCCAAGUAAGGAUCCUUUGGGGGACCUCUAGGUGGCAGGGAAGGGGGGCAACCGUUGGCCCGUCCUUACCCAGGUCCCCAGGCACAAGCAGUACCCUCCCCAGCUCCCCCGGUGCCUGGGGCCUGCCUGGAGGAGGAUGGGAGAAGAGAACGCUUCCAAACUUGGGGGAAGAGUCUGGCUAACUUCUACCGGAAGGCCUGGGGCUCCACCCACCUGCCUGCCCCAGGAGAAUACCCCGGAAGUACACGGGCCACUCUGGGGGCCUCAGCUGCCAGCUUCCUGGCCUUAAGGCCUGGAGUGGCAGGGCUGGCCCAGAAAGCAUGGUGGUAAGAGUGGGGGGUCCUCACCAGGCCAUAAGGGCGGGAUCCCUAAAGACGUCUCCCCCAGCCCUGGCAGGGCCUCAAGGGAUACUUCAGCCACUACAGCAGCUGGACCGCCGCCCCCCCCCCCUCCCCAGCCCUGAGGGCUUCUGGCUAAGAAUCCCACAUGGCCUGGGGUACCCGACUCGGGGAGACUGGUCUGUUCCACCCUGCCCAGGCCUGGCAAUGUCGCGGGGAGUUGGUGAGCGACGCUCUCACCUCCACGGAACUUCGACAAGAGUGAGGGGGGUGGACCCAGAGUGCUCCUGGCCUGGUCCCAGGAAGUUGAAUCCACAUGGGUGGGUGCUGAGGGAAAGCUAGGAACGCCCGGACAGCCCGUCCUCCCCCACCCCCUCAUCCCCCACCCCCCCCCCCCCCCCCAGGGAGGGGGCUGCUGGAAGGGCCCGGCCAACACAGCUUCCUGCUACCUUCCUGGAAUGCAGGAGUGGAGGAGGCGGACGAGAGGAGGAGCCAGAGAACACCCAUCCACCCACGUCUCCCUGCCUUGGCUCCCACCGGCCCCUCCCUGGUGGACACCACCUUCUGAAGGAGGCCUUGGGCUGGCCCAGAAGUCCAGAACCCCGAGUUCCAGUCCCGGCUCUGCCCUGAGCCUACUUUUCCACUGUAAACCGGGACCACCUGGUACCCAGUGUGCUCCCAAGCCCGGCUCUAGGACCGUGAUGCCAGGGCUGGGGGCGGGGGGCGGGGUCCCCGGAUACGGUGACCAGGAGGGGUGGGGUCGGGGCACAGGUCACUUACAGCUCCUUGUAGUUUGCAUCGUACAGCGUUGCCCACUUGUUCUGCUGAUGCGGUUGCCACUUGAUGGAUUGGUAGUUGGGAUCCAGGUAGGAGCCACUAAGGCUAUCAUUGUCCUGCAGGAGACCUGGAGGGAGGGAGCGCCCAUGUGGGCCCUGCGCCCCACUCCCCAGCUUCAAGGGUUGGCUCCCUGUGAGGUCCAGCAGGCCAGGCACGUACCUGGUGAGGGUGCACCCGGUGGGUGCCAAGGUGGCGUCUGGACCCGGGCGAUGCUGAGGGGCAAGGAGCCGGGGCCGGGGGAGAGUGGGCCCUGGGGAGGCCAGGGUGGGGAAGGGGCUCGAGCUGGGUGCGGGGGCAGGGUCGUCGCGGUCCCGGGCUCCUGUUUGAUCAUUCCAUUCAGCAUCUGGGCAUUAAGGGUGUUGGGAGGUGAUUCGGAGUGCUUCCUCUUCUUGGAGGGGUGUGUGGGGAGCCUGGGGGCGACACGGGUGCAGGUCUUGGGGGGCUGGCUCUUCCUGAGCCCCCUCCCACUAGGCAAUAGCCUUCUUCCCGUCUUCAACCUGUUUCAGCAGGAUUUACCUAAUCCAGAGGACACCUCCUCCAGGAAGCCCCUGGGCUUUACCUUCUCACUGCCGCCCCCCAUCACUCUGUGUUGUCAUUCUCUAUUUCUGUCACUCCUCCCUUCUCCUGAGAUUACGGAAUUCAAGGAGGGCAGAGGCCACACCUGACUUGUCGGUGUGUCCUCAUCAUGCCCGGCGAUAGGCCUCGUGCACAGCAUCCUCAGAAUCGUUUGUGGAAUGAACAAGUCGGUCCCUUCCCUGUGGUGUCACUCUCAGUGCCACUCUUUAUAGUUGGGGGCUCCACAGAGAGCAGCCUCCAUGGUCAGAAACAAGCCACAGAAGGCAUGGGCCACGAAGGGUGGGAAGGAGAGUUUCUUGGGGACGAGGCUGCGGAAUCUCGGCUUGAACGAAACCUUUCACGACAUCUCAGUGUGUAAGAUAAAUAGACAAAAAGAUAAUUCUGCUGGUUGGAGUCGGAAUGGGGUGCUUGGGUCUAUGGCUCACACUUCCGCAGGAGGCCCAGGACUCCACGAUCGGGUUAGAAAGUCCCUGGUGUCUGGGAAAGGAUACAGCCUGAGGUUCAAGUCCUGGCUCUGCCCCUUCCUAGUUUCACGACCUGGGCAAGCGUUUCCUCCCCUGGGAGCCCCAGUUUACCUCUCUGGGCAAUGGGGGUGGCCAUGCUCACCAAAUAAGGUAGUCGUAAGCGCUUGGCCGUGGCUAUAAAUCUCCAGCAGGUUUCUGGGCACAUAUGCAUACGUGUGCUGACCCUCAUCUCCUGGGGUCAGAGCCUUCUGCCUUCCUGGUUCGUCCCUGUCCGUACCUCCAUCUCUGUCCUGCCUUCUGCCGCCCUGAACCCCGACCCCCAAGCCCACCUGCCCGAGUCUUACUCAGCUCCGUGCUGAUUCAGCAGCUGGUGUAGCAUCUGGGACUGCUGUGUGUGGUGGAGAUCCGUGGGCACCAGCCCCUGCCCCAUGGCAGCGUAGGGGGGCAUCGGGGGCUCGGCCUUCAUGUACAGGUCCCGCUGCAGGACAGGGUAGUGAGGCGGGGGUGGCGGGGGCGGCGGAGGGCCUGGUAGGUGGGCUGGAGGUGGAGGUGGGUGCUCCAGGCGGGAGGGCACUCCCACGUGGCACAGGGACUCAGGGGUAAUGGUGCGCAGGAGAUGGGGGUCUGCAGGAGAGAUGGGGGGGCAUCAGAGACCUACCUACAUCACGCAGGUUCCCGGGCACCAGCUCUCCCCCCACCGGCAGGGUCUCCUGAUUCCCACCUUCUCCUGAACCAAGCCCCGGGGCUGCCCUCCCACCAGCCCCACGUGGGAGGAGGGCUGGGCAGCCUAGAGGCUGGCCACUAGAGGCCUGGGCAGGGAGACAAGACCCUGUCCAGGGGGCGGGCUGCUUCCCCCCCGCCCCCCGCCCCGGUCCUAAUGGGGUCCUGCCCCCAGACCGGGCUGCCCUCCCUGGGAAGGGCCCACAUCCCAAGGUGCUCCCCCAGCCCCCUCUCGGGCCUCAUCUUCCUCCGGGGGCCUCCGGGAGAAGUCUCUCGGGACCCCCAACACAGUCCUGCGGCAGCCCUCCUCCACCAGGAAGCCCCUCCAGCGGGCUCCCAGGGGCCAGCCCCCCAGCUCCCUUUGUUCCCCAGGAGGCAUUCCAGAAAUGUUUCUGGUAAGAUAAACAGAACUCUUGACCCCUCUCUGGGCUGUGGGGAGAAGGCUGCCCGCGCUCCUUCUGUUCUUGGCCACCUGGGGGCCGCUGCACCCCUGGCACCCCCCCCAGGGGGAGGUGGGCCCUGCGGGCCGGCGACGCCUGUACUCAGGCUGCACCCACAGCCUUCCCCAGCCGUCCACUUACCGCCGAAGGGCGCGUCCAUGAUGGCGCAGGCGGGCAGGCGGGUGGCAUCACCGGCAGGGACACUUGCUCAGAGGCAGGGCCAGGCUCCCCACCCGCCCGUGGGGAAACAAUAGCCAGCGCCGGGGAGUAUUUGACCAGCGAUAAUCUGGGCCUGUUGGGCGGCCGCUGGCCCCCUCCCUCCCUCGCUCCCUCCCUCCCCGAUAAGGCCGCCCCAACCACUUGCCCAAACCCCAGAGGGGGAGGGCGGUGCCCGCUGGACUCACCAUUCACCUGCUGGGGGGAGUAGGCCUCGGAGCCCGAGUCUGGGGGAGAGUCCGGCAGUGUGCUGCAGGAGCAGGAGGAAGGGGCUGCUGGGCGGGCAGCACUUCCGUGGGGCAGGGUCCCAGAGACCCUAGAGGCUGGAGGCACUGGGGUCUCCUCGCUCCCGCCCUCAGGGGAAUUUCUCUGCACCAGCCACCUUGCCUUGCCAGGCAGGGCCUGGGGCUGAACUCAGGCAGCGGGUCUCGGGCUCCUCCCACCCGGCGUCCCCUCUCAGACCUACUGGGCACUUGGGGACCGGGAGCCAAGGUCCCCGGUGAGGGCACAGGGAUUCAAGGACUCCUCCCAGAUGCAGAGGCCAGGCUGGCUCCUCCUUCCCACACCCGCUGAAGCCCCACUUUCCAGAAACUCUAAGGGGCUCCAGGGGGCUAAGCCCGGAGAGAUUCGGUGGGGGUCACCGUGGGCAGGUGUGGGCCAGGCAGGGAGCCAGCUCCGCCAGGCCUGGGUUUAUUUUUCUCUUGCAGGUUCUGUUUUAUCAGCGGCUCAGGCAAAAGGAACAAACUCAGGCCUGAGAGACCAACAUGUCCUGCGCGAGCCCUGCACUCGCCCGCUGAGGGGAGGCUGCGGCCAAGCAGGGAUCCCGCUCUUUGGCCAUCCUGGUCCCCGCAUCUGGAAAGACUGCCCACCACUGGGCCCAGGCAGCUGCCUUGAGGCAGCGAGCCCUCGUGGCCACAGCCCUGGGCUGAUUCUAGAGUCCUCAGGCUCCCCUGAACGAGCCACCCACCCAACCCCUCAGG